GAAACCAACAGGGAUUGCCCCCAGUAACGGCGAGUGAAGCGGCAACAGCUCAAAUUUGAAAUCUGGCCCCUAGGGUCCGAGUUGUAAUUUGUAGAGGAUGCUUUUGGUGAGGUGCCGCCCGAGUUCCCUGGAACGGGACGCCACAGAGGGUGAGAGCCCCGUCUGGCUGGCCACCGAGCCUCUGUAAAGCUCCUUCGACGAGUCGAGUAGUUUGGGAAUGCUGCUCAAAAUGGGAGGUAUAUGUCUUCUAAAGCUAAAUAUUGGCCAGAGACCGAUAGCGCACAAGUAGAGUGAUCGAAAGAUGAAAAGCACCUUGAAAAGAGGGUUAAAUAGUACGUGAAAUUGUUGAAAGGGAAGCGCUUGUGACCAGACUUGGGCGCGGCGGAUCAUCCGGGGUUCUCUCCGGUGCACUUCGCCGCGUCUAGGCCAGCAUCAGUUCGUCGCGGGGGAAAAAGGCUUCGGGAACGUGGCUCCUCCGGGAGUGUUAUAGCCCGUUGCAUAAUACCCUGCUUUGGACUGAGGACCGCGCAUCUGCAAGGAUGCUGGCGUAAUGGUCACCAGCGACCCGUCUUGAAACACGGACCAAGGAGUCGUCUUCGUAUGCGAGUGUUCGGGUGUCAAACCCCUACGCGUAAUGAAAGUGAACGCAGGUGAGAGCUUCGGCGCAUCAUCGACCGAUCCUGAUGUUCUCGGAUGGAUUUGAGUAAGAGCAUACGGGGCCGGACCCGAAAGAAGGUGAACUAUGCCUGUAUAGGGUGAAGCCAGAGGAAACUCUGGUGGAGGCUCGCAGCGGUUCUGACGUGCAAAUCGAUCGUCAAAUAUGGGCAUGGGGGCGAAAGACUAAUCGAACCUUCUA
This 856-nucleotide ribosomal RNA is filed under the name Ameghiniella frondosa. RNAcentral's name for it is "Cordierites frondosus partial 28S ribosomal RNA". It matches the Rfam family "Eukaryotic large subunit ribosomal RNA", at positions 61 to 946 of the family's 3401-position model. Lineage: Eukaryota; Fungi; Ascomycota; Leotiomycetes; Helotiales; Cordieritidaceae. The record is from RNAcentral.